Oryza nivara is the source of this 201-nucleotide non-coding RNA. Lineage: Eukaryota; Viridiplantae; Streptophyta; Magnoliopsida; Poales; Poaceae. The record is from Rfam.
UAAAAAAACAAACCCUGUUUUACAUGUCCAACGUUUGACCGUCCGUCUUAUUUGAAAAAAUUAUAAAAAAAAUUAAAAAGACAAGUCACGUAUAAAAUAUUAAUCAUGUUUUAUCAUCUAACAACAAUAAAAAUACGAAUUAUAAAAAAAUAUAUAAGACAGACAGUUAAAGUUGGACACGGAGACCAGGUUUUAUUUUUU